RNAcentral lists this ribosomal RNA (465 nucleotides) under uncultured bacterium. RNAcentral's name for it is "partial 16S ribosomal RNA". It matches the Rfam family "Bacterial small subunit ribosomal RNA", at positions 28 to 507 of the family's 1533-position model. The record is from RNAcentral.
GACGAACGCUGGCGGCGUGCUUAACACAUGCAAGUCGAACGGAAAGGCCCUGCUUGCAGGGUACUCGAGUGGCGAACGGGUGAGUAACACGUGGGUGAUCUGCCCUGCACUUCGGGAUAAGCCUGGGAAACUGGGUCUAAUACCAGAUAGGAGCCAUUCUUAGUGUGAUGGUUGGAAAGUUUUUUCGGUGUAGGAUGAGCUCGCGGCCUAUCAGCUUGUUGGUGGGGUAAUGGCCUACCAAGGCGGCGACGGGUAGCCGGCCUGAGAGGGUGGACGGCCACAUUGGGACUGAGAUACGGCCCAGACUCCUACGGGAGGCAGCAGUGGGGAAUAUUGCACAAUGGGCGCAAGCCUGAUGCAGCGACGCCGCGUGGGGGAUGACGGCCUUCGGGUUGUAAACUCCUUUCGCUAGGGACGAAGCUUUUUGUGACGGUACCUAGAUAAGAAGCACCGGCUAACUACGUG